AUUGAACGCUGGCGGCAGGCCUAACACAUGCAAGUCGAACGAGUGGCGGACGGGUGAGUAAUGUAUGGGAAACUGCCUGAUGGCGGGGGAUAACUACUGGAAACGGUAGCUAAUACCGCAUACUAUCCGCUGUGCCCAGAUGGGAUUAGCUAGUUGGUGGGGUAACGGCUCACCAAGGCGACGAUCCCUAGCUGGUCUGAGAGGAUGACCAGCCACACUGGAACUGAGACACGGUCCAGACUCCUACGGGAGGCAGCAGUGGGGAAUAUUGGACAAUGGGCGAAAGCCUGAUGCAGCCAUGCCGCGUGUAUGAAGAAGGCCUUCGGGUUGUAAAGUACUUUCGGCGGGGAAGCGUUACCUGCAGAAGAAGCACCGGCUAACUCCGUGCCAGCAGCCGCGGUAAUAC
RNAcentral lists this ribosomal RNA (406 nucleotides) under uncultured bacterium. RNAcentral's name for it is "partial 16S ribosomal RNA". It matches the Rfam family "Bacterial small subunit ribosomal RNA", at positions 30 to 526 of the family's 1533-position model. The record is from RNAcentral.